AGUGAACGCUGGCGGUAGGCCUAACACAUGCAAGUCGAACGGCAGCACAGUAAGAGCUUGCUCUUACGGGUGGCGAGUGGCGGACGGGUGAGAAAUACAUCGGAAUCUACUUUUUCGUGGGGGAUAACGUAGGGAAACUUACGCUAAUACCGCAUACGACCUACGGGUGAAAGCAGGAGAUCUUCGGACCUUGCGCGAUUGAAUGAGCCGAUGUCGGAUUAGCUAGUUGGCGGGGUAAAGGCCCACCAAGGCGACGAUCCGUAGCUGGUCUGAGAGGAUGAUCAGCCACACUGGAACUGAGACACGGUCCAGACUCCUACGGGAGGCAGCAGUGGGGAAUAUUGGACAAUGGGCGCAAGCCUGGUCCAGCCAUACCGCGUGGGUGAAGAAGGCCUUCGGGUUGUAAAGCCCUGUUGUUGGGAAAGAAAAGCAGUAUGUUUAAAUCCCGCUGUUCUGACGGUACCCAAAGAAUAAGCACCGGCUAACUUCGUG
Molecule: ribosomal RNA, 492 nt
Filed under: uncultured bacterium
Lineage: Bacteria
Description: partial 16S ribosomal RNA
Rfam family: Bacterial small subunit ribosomal RNA
Source: RNAcentral